This 1597-nucleotide long non-coding RNA is filed under the name Medicago truncatula (barrel medic). Its description in RNAcentral is "long non-coding RNA (MTRU_LNC008802)". The record is from RNAcentral. Lineage: Eukaryota; Viridiplantae; Streptophyta; Magnoliopsida; Fabales; Fabaceae.
GCUGAAGCUGAGCGCAAGAGGAAACAAGAGGUAAGUGAUUGAUUAUAUGUUUCAAAUAUAAGUUGAUACUUAUACAUCAUUGUGAAUGUGUGUUUAAGAUUAUGUAUUGCUACAGCUUCUGCAAAGAAAGCAAUCUGCAAAGGUUCAAAAGGGGACAGAAAAAUCAAGCUCAAGCACAACCUGGUGAAUAAGCAUCAAUGACAAGAAUUGAGAAUUUGAGUAUAAAUGUGAAAUAAAUAAUGUGUCUGUACUCAGAAAUUCUGCUUUUGUUGUACAUUUAGAUACAUGACAAUUAAAAUAAUGCAUUCAUGUGAAUGCCGAUAUUAUUAUGCUGCAUACAUAGUUCAUAAAUAUUUCAAGGAUUAUUGUUGAGUUUGUACCUUAAAAUCGCUGUUAUUUUAGAUUCUACCAGGGGCUGUCUUAAGUAAUUAGGAUUACCUGUUAGCAUAUUUGAAUUCUGCUGUUGUUUUUUCGAUCUUCAAGUUUCUGUCGAGUGCAAUUCGAAUUCUGCUAAAGCCCGGUCCUCGUAAUUUGAAUUACGCAGGUAAAAUGUCUAUAAAAAUAGAUUUUUAUCUCGUUAUUCGCUUGUACCAAAAGAGGAUAUUCUUAGGAAACUUAAAGGCUAAGGUUGGUGUCUUUCGGGAGAGGGAAAACAGAGAACAUCAGGGCUCUUGUGUUGAAUGUUUCUUGUGAGGUUCUUUGGGUGCGAGACAAAAUCAACAGGGGAACUUAAAAGGGGCUUUUCGGUUGAGGGCUUUGUGGUGAGAUUUUGUGGAACACCCUAUAUUAUAGUCUAGAACAUAAUUAAUACAAAGUGUCUUAUAAUAGUACUAGAUAGUCAUAAGAAAUCUGUCCAAAGGUACAUAAACAGUCUUAUACACUUAACUUAUAGUCACAUACAAGGUACAAGAAUGUAGAUACAAGCAAAAUGGUCUUAGCUUAUGUUGUGUAUGUCAGAAUCACGUCGACCCACCGUGAUUUUUCAAAAACUACACUUUGUAGCUUCUACAAAAUCACGGUGAUUCAGACAUACCUCUUGUGAUACCAAACACACUCUUAGUUACCAACACUGCAAAUAAAACAUAUAUAAAUUCCCAAAAGUUAAAACAUCUUCAAAUUUUCUUGUCCUUACUAUUGCCUUCCCAUUCAUCCGUAAAACAAAAUUAUAAAAGGUGAUUCGUAAUACAAUCUCUGGACAUAACUCAAGUUUACAUAUACAUAUAUAAAUUUAUGUCUUUUUCGUGCAUGCUGAAAUUAUGUUGCAUAUGAACCAAGAACAUCCAACUCCUUAUCUCUCAACUCAAACCAGUUUAAAUGUUAGUAUUAGUACCACCACAAUGCAUCAUGAAUUAGGGAUUCAAUUUCACUAGUUUGAUAUCAUUCUACUCAAUCUAUCCUAUACGCAUAACCUAAUUCCUAAUAACGAACCAUAGCUUACUAAAGAACUCACCAUAAAUUUGAAGAGGGCGCUGAUUGCAUGCAACUUCUUCUCUUCACUUCCUUGCACUCUAUCUUAUGUUAUGCUCGUAGAGAGAGUAGGAGAGUUGAAGAAAAUGCGUUAUUUGACCUUUGGGUUCACAAUUACCCUUAAAUAGAG